This 465-nucleotide ribosomal RNA is filed under the name uncultured bacterium. Its description in RNAcentral is "partial 16S ribosomal RNA". It matches the Rfam family "Bacterial small subunit ribosomal RNA", at positions 339 to 795 of the family's 1533-position model. The record is from RNAcentral.
CUACGGGGUGCAGCAGUGAGGAAUUUUGCGCAAUGGGGGCAACCCUGACGCAGCAACGCCGCGUGAGUGAAGAAGGCCUUUGGGUCGUAAAGCUCUGUCAACUGGGAAGAAAUUACAGUUAUCCAAUAGGUGACUGUAUUGACGGUACCAGUGGAGGAAGCGCCGGCUAACUCCGUGCCAGCAGCCGCGGUAACACGGGGGGCGCAAGCGUUAUUCGGAAUUAUUGGGCGUAAAGGGCGCGCAGGCGGUCUUGUCAGUCAGAUGUGAAAGCCCGGGGCUCAACCCUGGAAGUGCAUUUGAAACAGCAAGACUUGAGUACGGGAGAGGAAAGCGGAAUUCCUGGUGUAGAGGUGAAAUUCGUAGAUAUCAGGAGGAACACCGAUGGCGAAGGCAGCUUUCUGGACCGAUACUGACGCUGAGGCGCGAAGGCGUGGGUAGCAAACGGGAUUAGAUACCCGCGUAGUC